AUUGUGUCAGCCUGUCGUUCU
This 21-nucleotide microRNA is filed under the name Ciona intestinalis (vase tunicate). RNAcentral describes it as "cin-miR-4181-5p". Lineage: Eukaryota; Metazoa; Chordata; Ascidiacea; Phlebobranchia; Cionidae. The record is from miRBase by way of RNAcentral.